Molecule: ribosomal RNA, 309 nt
Filed under: Acinetobacter baumannii
Lineage: Bacteria; Pseudomonadati; Pseudomonadota; Gammaproteobacteria; Moraxellales; Moraxellaceae
Description: partial 23S ribosomal RNA
Rfam family: Bacterial large subunit ribosomal RNA
Source: RNAcentral
AUCUACCGUGGGCGCUGGAAAUUUGAGAGGAUCUGCUCCUAGUACGAGAGGACCAGAGUGGACGAACCUCUGGUGUACCGGUUGUGACGCCAGUCGCAUCGCCGGGUAGCUAUGUUCGGAAGGGAUAACCGCUGAAAGCAUCUAAGCGGGAAGCCUACCUCAAGAUAAGAUUUCCCUAGGACUUUAUGUCCUCUAAAGAGCCGUUCGAGACUAGGACGUUGAUAGGUUGGAUGUGGAAGCAUAGUGAUAUGUGAAGCUGACCAAUACUAAUUGCUCGUGAGGCUUGACUAUACAACACCCAAGCAGUUG